RNAcentral lists this ribosomal RNA (513 nucleotides) under uncultured delta proteobacterium. RNAcentral's name for it is "bacterial SSU rRNA". It matches the Rfam family "Bacterial small subunit ribosomal RNA", at positions 38 to 523 of the family's 1533-position model. The record is from RNAcentral. Lineage: Bacteria; Deltaproteobacteria.
GGCGGCGUGCUUAACACAUGCAAGUCGCACGAGAACGCUUCAGCUUGCUGAGGCAAGUAAAGUGGCGCACGGGUGAGUAACGCGUGGGUAAUCUACCUCUGAAUUGGGGAUAACAUUGCGAAAGCGGUGCUAAUACCGAAUAAUAUCAUCAGGGCUCCGGUCCUGUUGACCAAAGGUGGCCUCUACAUGUAAGCUACUGUUUAGAGAUGAGCCCGCGUACCAUUAGCUUGUUGGUAGGGUAACGGCCUACCAAGGCUACGAUGGUUAGCUGGUCUGAGAGGAUGAUCAGCCACACUGGAACUGACACACGGUCCAGACUCCUACGGGAGGCAGCAGUGAGGAAUUUUGCGCAAUGGGGGAAACCCUGACGCAGCAACGCCGCGUGAGUGAUGAAGGCUUUCGGGUCGUAAAGCUCUGUCAAGUGGGAAGAACCUGCCCCGUGAUAAUACCAUGGGGUACCGACGGUACCACUGAAGGAAGCACCGGCUAACUCCGUGCCAGCAGCCGCGGUAA